RNAcentral lists this ribosomal RNA (142 nucleotides) under uncultured eukaryote. Its description in RNAcentral is "partial 18S ribosomal RNA". It matches the Rfam family "Eukaryotic small subunit ribosomal RNA", at positions 1299 to 1458 of the family's 1831-position model. The record is from RNAcentral.
UGGUGGAGUGAUUUGUCUGGUUUAUUCCGUUAACGAACGAGACCCCUGCCUGCUAAAUAGCGCCGGGAAUGCUUCGCAUUGCCGGAUCGCUUCUUAGAGGGACUGUAUGGGACUACCAAUACGGAAGUUGGGGGCAAUAACA